AAGACGCGGGAACGCAAGCUCAUGUAUUUCCCCAGCACACACCAGGAGAAGCUUCCUGAAUCUUGGUGCACUGCAAUAUUAAUCAUGAUUACCGACCCCCUGGCUUAGCAAUUAUGUACACUCUUUUCUGCUGGGUUCCUACCAACGUAUUAAAAAUUAAUAUAAUUUACAUACGUUUCUGCAGACCUCUUAGUAAUGCAUUAACACGCAAAAUUAUAAUAAAACAGCCACUGCACCGAGGAAGACUAAGGAGGAGGAGCGGUUCACCCAGGGAUUAUCUGUAUGUAAGGAACAAGAUGGCUGAGAAAAACCCGGACUUGUACUGUGACGCCUGGCUGCUGUGCUCGGCUCCAUGAUCCACUAGAACAGAAAACGAUGCUAAGAACUGACUACAAUUAGCGAACAAACACUAAACAAGCCCCUUACCUCUCGUCAGACGCCACCACAGCGCCACCGCCACAAAGACAACACAAAAUUAACACCAAGAAAUUAGUUAUUGAAGGAGAUAAAUAGCAAAUGGAGACUCACAGAAUGGCAGUACGCGUGCAACACCUCGUCCCCUACAGCAGGAUCAACAGAAAGGUCGCCAAGUACAGCCAUAUCCACAGGUCUUCUUUCCCUCCCCUCAUUUACAUCUGAACGUCUUCCCCUCGUAUCCUCUUCCCCAGCACGGCGUUUUACGAAAGCGCGGAUUGGCAUAUCAAAAGCGCGGAAAACGUUGCUGAUAUAUUGCUAUCAAAAGCGCGUUAGAAUAUCAAGUCAAAAGCGCGUUUUAUCACUCACCUCUAAGUCAGAUUGUUUAUACGUUCAAUAACGAUCGUUCACCUGUUGUAGGAAAAAUUGUAUAUUUGUUAAUUAAGUAUAGGAUUGACCUUUUAAGUAUAUUCUUCUUGCACCUUAGUACAGGCUUGUCCUUGCAGUCCUUUGAUAUACGCUCGAUUGCUGCCGCCUCAGGACACUAGGAGCAUUGCGGAAGCGCUGAGGAAGACAUCACAACCCUUGACACAGCGAACACAACUCAGUACUGAGGCUGGCACUGGCUUCUCCCAACACCUCACGUGGUCAUUGCAACAAAAGGAGGUAACUCCCGCCUCCAGCACCACCGCCAUAUACUCGCCUCGCUCUCUCUCUCUCUCUCCCUGCCGGCCAUAUUGACACUCAGGUAACGUGAUAUGACCAGUGCCGGGAAUCUGAUGGCGCGGAAUGUGCUGAGGAUAGUGAAUGGGGGAGAAGGCAUGAUGCUACUCAUGCUGCGGGUA
Long non-coding RNA from Scylla paramamosain (green mud crab), 1259 nucleotides. RefSeq lists it as uncharacterized. NCBI's taxonomy places the organism in Eukaryota, Metazoa, Arthropoda, Malacostraca, Decapoda, Portunidae. The record is from RefSeq and is a predicted model, not a curated record. The transcript is spliced from 3 exons.